Molecule: signal recognition particle RNA, 268 nt
Filed under: Candidatus Hydrogenedentota bacterium
Lineage: Bacteria; Pseudomonadati; Candidatus Hydrogenedentota
Description: Candidatus Hydrogenedentes bacterium (hot springs metagenome) signal recognition particle sRNA large type
Rfam family: Bacterial large signal recognition particle RNA
About the family: The signal recognition particle (SRP) is a universally conserved ribonucleoprotein involved in the co-translational targeting of proteins to membranes. Archaeal SRP consists of a 7S RNA and homologues of the eukaryotic SRP19 and SRP54 proteins.
Source: RNAcentral
UCGCGCUAGGCGGGAACGUAGCGGCGUUCCUGUACUCGCAAAUCCGCUUUAGCGAGGCUGAAUUCCCUCUCGAGGGCGGUAUGCCCUUUAGCAGGCGCAGAGCAAGUAGCGAUGACGGUUGGGUCCUACUCAACAGGUAGGCGGUGAACCCGGUCAGGUCCGGAAGGAAGCAGCCGUAGCCGCUGAGCCUGUGUGCUGUAGGGUUGCCUGACCCGAGCUAACUACUCUGUGGCCGUUCUGGGUAUGCCGUUCGAAAGAGGGUGCGCGA